UACGAAGGGGGCUAGCGUUGUUCGGAUUUACUGGGCGUAAAGCGCACGUAGGCGGAUCUUUAAGUCAGAGGUGAAAUCCCAAGGCUCAACCUUGGAACUGCCUUUGAUACUGGGGAUCUUGAGUCCGGGAGAGGUGAGUGGAACUGCGAGUGUAGAGGUGAAAUUCGUAGAUAUUCGGAAGAACACCAGUGGCGAAGGCGGCUCACUGGUCCGGUACUGACGCUGAGGUGCGAAAGCGUGGGGAGCAAACGGG
This 253-nucleotide ribosomal RNA is filed under the name uncultured bacterium. RNAcentral's name for it is "partial 16S ribosomal RNA". It matches the Rfam family "Bacterial small subunit ribosomal RNA", at positions 524 to 776 of the family's 1533-position model. The record is from RNAcentral.